This 456-nucleotide unclassified non-coding RNA is filed under the name uncultured Clavulina. Its description in RNAcentral is "sequence contains ITS2". The stretch from base 1 to 154 matches the Rfam family "5.8S ribosomal RNA". The record is from RNAcentral. Lineage: Eukaryota; Fungi; Basidiomycota; Agaricomycetes; Cantharellales; Hydnaceae.
AACUUUUGGCAAUGGAUCUCUUGGCUCUCGCAUCGAUGAUGAACGCAGCGAAAUGCGAUACGUAAUGUGAAUUGCAGAAUUCAGUGAAUCAUCGAAUCUUUGAACGCACCUUGCGCUCCCUGGUAUUCCGGGGAGCACGCCUGUUCGAGUGCCGCGAAAUUUCUCAAGCUUGGAUGGCUUUCUUGUCUGUUCUUAGCCUUGGUUGUUGGGCUUUGCCGUGUCCUUUGUUGGGACGGCUGGCCUUAAAAGCAUUAGCUGAUCCUUGUGUGGCACUGGUUCUACUCAGCGUGAUAACAGUCUUAUCGCUGAGGACAUCUUUUGGGAUGGCCAGUUCUCAUUUGGGUUGCUUCCAAACUUGGUUUUGCAGAUUCUUCAAUCUGUGUUCCACUUUUCAGCUUUGACCUCGAAUCAGGUGGGACUACCCGCUGAACUUAAGCAUAUCAAUAAGCGGAGGCU